UGGAUCUAUUCUUUUUUUUUUUUUUGGUUUUUUUUUUUUUUUUUCUUAUUGAUUGUUCUUGCUUUUUCACACGGCUCCUUAAGGUGGUGGAUUUGUACCGAAAGGCCCAGGUGAGAUGUGCAAAUAUCACUGGAUUGGAGGAGCUCACUUGGAAAGGCAGUAUUUCUUUCUCUUGAGCUAAUGGGAAAAAAAGGCAUUCGUCUUACACCAAUAAGCAAUACCAACCUUGUUCACGGGCUGGGGAGACAGUUUUUUAUUAUUAAGGAAGUAGGAAGCUUGGUCCUGCACGGUGGCUCAUGCAUAAUCCCAGCACUUUGGGAGGCCAAGUUCCUGGGAUAAUAGUCACUAAGGAAGAGGGUAGAAACUAGAACUGAAUGAGAUGGACACAGAGAUCGCCAAGAGAAGCGUCAUCCUCUGCCAAGUCAUGGGGUCAUGCGUGGUGGAUGGUGACAUGGCAUCUUCAGCUCAGAGUCCAGCUGGGAGCUCAGAAGCAAGGUAACUGAAGGGAAGAGAAAUCUGAGCACCUAAUGUGUGUAAGAUGCUUCACAUUUAUUAUUUCACCUAACCUCUACACAACCUGAUGUGGGUAUUACUGCUGUCAAGGUGGGAUUCAAAGCAGGUUUUUUUCUAACCUCAUAAUUCUUGCCAGACUCGACUAGCCCU
This 663-nucleotide long non-coding RNA is filed under the name Saimiri boliviensis boliviensis (Bolivian squirrel monkey). RNAcentral describes it as "lncRNA (ENSSBOG00000036503.1)". The record is from RNAcentral. Lineage: Eukaryota; Metazoa; Chordata; Mammalia; Primates; Cebidae.